Molecule: long non-coding RNA, 815 nt
Organism: Anneissia japonica
Lineage: Eukaryota; Metazoa; Echinodermata; Crinoidea; Comatulida; Comatulidae
Exons: 5
Source: RefSeq, a predicted model, not a curated record
AGGUUGCUUCUGUCUCAGGUCAUUGAGUCCAGACUCCUAAGUGUUGGUGCUGUAAUCAGCUCAGGAGCAGGCAAACAUCCCCUGCCAGUUUUAUCUUUCAACCGAGAAUUAAACAAGAAAACAAAUAGCGUAGUUCCUCUGAGCCUCUGGAACACAUUGUGCCGAUUUUUUUUUUAUACCCGGGAAUUUCUUUUCUCAGAAGACUACAGGUUUCAUAACUAACAAGUUCCAAAUUAGAAGUAGCCACAGAGGAGGAAGCAUCCUAAGCAGAUUGUUGAAACCAUCCAACGAUUUGGGAAUAACUGUAGACGACGCCACAUGUACAGAACAAAUGAAUGGAUAUUGGAGGCUGAACCAUGACUGUGGAAAACGAUUCUGCCUGAAUCAGAUUAAGUACCGAAUGUAAAUAUGUGUGAUGAUGAAAAUGAUACUAGGUCGCUUCAGAUUGUCAGCAUUUAUCCAGGUCCCCAAACAAAGUGUUCUGUCGUAAGAGGAAGUUCCUUAAACAUUUUGCGAAGUCUGGUGUUCGUUGCCGGGUAAUUCAGUCUCAUGUCUACAACAGGUGCGGAGCUGCCCCAGGGGCCAGGUGGCGCUUUUUGUGUGCCGAAUACUGCCACUUCUGAAUUGGAAGCAUUUAGGGCCAUGAUCCAUACAGGAAAUAUGGGUCUUCAAUAGUAAUAUGGCAUCCUUGCCACUGUGUAUAAUAGUAGUUCAGAUAAAAACAAACAAGCAAAAGGAAUAUGUAAGGAAAGUUUUAACUGUGGUACAUCCUAUUAUAGUCAAGUGGAUUUCUUGUGUAAUGGGCACAAGAUUCU